Molecule: non-coding RNA, 92 nt
Filed under: Pseudomonas sp. PM2
Lineage: Bacteria; Pseudomonadati; Pseudomonadota; Gammaproteobacteria; Pseudomonadales; Pseudomonadaceae
Also listed under: 2 other names
Source: RNAcentral
AUUUAUGGCGGCUGUGUGCGGGAGACCUUCGGGUCUACCGAGACUUGCUGGUGAUUCUCGGUCUUGCAGGCCCGCACACAGCUGCCACCCAU